GAUGAAGAACGCAGCGAAAUGCGAUAAGUAAUGUGAAUUGCAGAAUUCAGUGAAUCAUCGAGUCUUUGAACGCACAUUGCGCCCCCUGGUAUUCCGGGGGGCAUGCCUGUCCGAGCGUCAUUGCCGCCCUCAAGCACGGCUUGUGUGUUGGGCCCCCGCCCCCCGGCUUCGGGGGGCGGGCCCGAAAGGCAGCGGCGGCACCGCGUCCGGUCCUCGAGCGUAUGGGGCUUCGUCACCCGCUCUGUAGGCCCGGCCGGCGCCCGCCGGCGACCCCAAUCAAUCUUUCCAGGUUGACCUCGGAUCAGGUAGGGCUACCCGCUGAACUUAAGCAUAUCAAUAAGCGGAGGA
RNAcentral lists this unclassified non-coding RNA (348 nucleotides) under soil metagenome. RNAcentral describes it as "partial contains 5.8S ribosomal RNA, internal transcribed spacer 2, and large subunit ribosomal RNA". The stretch from base 1 to 120 matches the Rfam family "5.8S ribosomal RNA", at positions 35 to 154 of the family's 154-position model. The record is from RNAcentral.